GAUGAAGAACGUAGCGAAAUGCGAUAAGUAAUGUGAAUUGCAGAAUUCCGUGAAUCAUCGAAUCUUUGAACGCACAUUGCGCCCCCUGGCAUUCCGGGGGGCAUGCCUGUCCGAGCGUCAUUUCUGCCCUCAAGCACGGCUUGUGUGUUGGGUGUGGUCCCCCCGGGGGCCUGCCCGAAAGGCAGCGGCGACGUCCGUCUGGUCCUCGAGCGUAUGGGGCUCUGUCACUCGCUCGGGAAGGACCUGCGGGGGUUGGUCACCACUAUAUUUUACCACGGUUGACCUCGGAUCAGGUAGGAGUUACCCGCUGAACUUAAGCAUAUCAAUAAGCGGAGGA
This 337-nucleotide unclassified non-coding RNA is filed under the name soil metagenome. Its description in RNAcentral is "partial contains 5.8S ribosomal RNA, internal transcribed spacer 2, and large subunit ribosomal RNA". The stretch from base 1 to 120 matches the Rfam family "5.8S ribosomal RNA", at positions 35 to 154 of the family's 154-position model. The record is from RNAcentral.